GAUGAACGCUGGCGGCGUGCUUAAUACAUGCAAGUCGAGCGGUAACACUUCGGGUGACGAGCGGCGGACGGCAGAGUAACGCGUAGGAACCUACCCCGAACUGAGGGAUAAGCACCAGAAAUGGUGUCUAAUACCGCAUGUGCGCUUCGGCGUAAAGCUUCGGCGGUUUGGGAAGGGCCUGCGUAUGAUUAGCUUGUUGGUAAGGUAACGGCUUACCAAGGCGACGAUCAUUAGCUGGUCUGAGAGGAUGAUCAGCCUGACUGGGACUGAGACACGGCCCAGACUCCUACGGGAGGCAGCAGUGGGGAAUUUUCCACAAUGGACGAAAGACUGAUGGAGCGACGCCGCGUGCAGGAUGAAGGCUUUCGGGUCGUAAACUGCUUUUCUCUGUGACGAUUAUGACGGUAGCAGAGGAAUAAGGGCCGGCUAACUACGUGCCAGCAGCCGCCGUAA
RNAcentral lists this ribosomal RNA (453 nucleotides) under uncultured bacterium. RNAcentral describes it as "partial 16S ribosomal RNA". It matches the Rfam family "Bacterial small subunit ribosomal RNA", at positions 28 to 523 of the family's 1533-position model. The record is from RNAcentral.